This 1172-nucleotide ribosomal RNA is filed under the name Psychrobacter sp. Its description in RNAcentral is "bacterial SSU rRNA". It matches the Rfam family "Bacterial small subunit ribosomal RNA", at positions 69 to 1240 of the family's 1533-position model. Lineage: Bacteria; Pseudomonadati; Pseudomonadota; Gammaproteobacteria; Moraxellales; Moraxellaceae. The record is from RNAcentral.
ACAUUUYUAGCUUGCUAGAAGAUGACGAGCGGCGGACGGGUGAGUAAUACUUAGGAAUCUACCUAGUAGUGGGGGAUAGCUCGGGGAAACUCGAAUUAAUACCGCAUACGACCUACGGGAGAAAGGGGGCAACUUGUUGCUCUCGCUAUUAGAUGAGCCUAAGUCGGAUUAGCUAGAUGGUGGGGUAAAGGCCUACCAUGGCGACGAUCUGUAGCUGGUCUGAGAGGAUGAUCAGCCACACCGGGACUGAGACACGGCCCGGACUCCUACGGGAGGCAGCAGUGGGGAAUAUUGGACAAUGGGGGCAACCCUGAUCCAGCCAUGCCGCGUGUGUGAAGAAGGCCUUUUGGUUGUAAAGCACUUUAAGCAGUGAAGAAGACUCUGUGGUUAAUACCCACAGACGAUGACAUUAGCUGCAGAAUAAGCACCGGCUAACUCUGUGCCAGCAGCCGCGGUAAUACAGAGGGUGCAAGCGUUAAUCGGAAUUACUGGGCGUAAAGCGAGCGUAGGUGGCUUGAUAAGUCAGAUGUGAAAUCCCCGGGCUUAACCUGGGAACUGCAUCUGAUACUGUUAGGCUAGAAUAGGUGAGAGGAAGGUAGAAUUCCAGGUGUAGCGGUGAAAUGCGUAGAGAUCUGGAGGAAUACCGAUGGCGAAGGCAGCCUUCUGGCAUCAUAUUGACACUGAGGUUCGAAAGCGUGGGUAGCAAACAGGAUUAGAUACCCUGGUAGUCCACGCCGUAAACGAUGUCUACUAGUCGUUGGGUCCCUUGAGGACUUAGUGACGCAGCUAACGCAAUAAGUAGACCGCCUGGGGAGUACGGCCGCAAGGUUAAAACUCAAAUGAAUUGACGGGGGCCCGCACAAGCGGUGGAGCAUGUGGUUUAAUUCGAUGCAACGCGAAGAACCUUACCUGGUCUUGACAUAUCUAGAAUCCUGCAGAGAUGCGGGAGUGCCUUCGGGAAUUAGAAUACAGGUGCUGCAUGGCUGUCGUCAGCUCGUGUCGUGAGAUGUUGGGUUAAGUCCCGCAACGAGCGCAACCCUUGUCCUUAGUUACCAGCGGGUUAAGCCGGGAACUCUAAGGAUACUGCCAGUGACAAACUGGAGGAAGGCGGGGACGACGUCAAGUCAUCAWGGCCCUUACGACNGGGCUACCMCGUGCUACAUGGUAGGUAC